This 253-nucleotide ribosomal RNA is filed under the name uncultured bacterium. RNAcentral's name for it is "partial 16S ribosomal RNA". It matches the Rfam family "Bacterial small subunit ribosomal RNA", at positions 524 to 776 of the family's 1533-position model. The record is from RNAcentral.
UACAGAGGUCCCAAGCGUUGUUCGGAUUCACUGGGCGUAAAGGGUGCGUAGGUGGUGAGGCAAGUCGGAUGUGAAAUCUCCGGGCUUAACCCGGAAACUGCAUUGGAAACUGCCUUGCUAGAGGUUUUGAGGGGGGACUGGAAUUCUCGGUGUAGCAGUGAAAUGCGUAGAUAUCGAGAGGAACACCAGUGGCGAAGGCGAGUCCCUGGAAAACACCUGACACUGAGGCACGAAAGCUAGGGGAGCAAACAGG